This 253-nucleotide ribosomal RNA is filed under the name uncultured bacterium. Its description in RNAcentral is "partial 16S ribosomal RNA". It matches the Rfam family "Bacterial small subunit ribosomal RNA", at positions 524 to 776 of the family's 1533-position model. The record is from RNAcentral.
UACGUAGGGUGCGAGCGUUAUUCGGAAUUACUGGGCGUAAAGUGUGCGCAGGCGGCCGCGCAAGUCGAGUGUGAAAUCCCCGAGCUUAACUUGGGAAUGGCAUUUGGGACUGCAAGGCUGGAGUGCGGCAGAGGAGACUGGAAUUCCUGGUGUAGCAGUGAAAUGCGUAGAUAUCAGGAGGAACACCGAUGGCGAAGGCAGGUCUCUGGGCUGACACUGACGCUCAUGCACGAAAGCGUGGGGAGCAAACAGG